AAGAUGAGAUCUGCCGGGGCCUUGAGCCCCCUAAAGAGUCGUUCAAGACCAGGACGUUGAUAGGUCAGGUGUGGAAGCGCAGUAAUGCGUUAAGCUAACUGAUACUAAUUGCUCGUGCGGCUUGACCCU
RNAcentral lists this ribosomal RNA (129 nucleotides) under Rhodoferax sp. RNAcentral describes it as "partial 23S ribosomal RNA". It matches the Rfam family "Bacterial large subunit ribosomal RNA", at positions 2801 to 2925 of the family's 2925-position model. The record is from RNAcentral. Lineage: Bacteria; Pseudomonadati; Pseudomonadota; Betaproteobacteria; Burkholderiales; Comamonadaceae. RNAcentral also lists the same sequence under 2 other names.